Ribosomal RNA from Aotus nancymaae (Ma's night monkey), 122 nucleotides. NCBI's taxonomy places the organism in Eukaryota, Metazoa, Chordata, Mammalia, Primates, Aotidae. The record is from Ensembl.
GUCUACAGCCAUGCCAUCCUGAACACGCCUGAUCUCAUCUGAUCUUGGAAGCUAAGCAGGGUCGAGACUGGUUAGUACCUGGAUGGGAAGAGUAUGCAAAAUAUACCUGCCCGCAGUUGGAC